GCAACUGAUUCCAAACUGCCCGAUGCCCAGGCUGCUCAUGAAGGUGCUACAACGGCCAUGCUGGCGGCACUGGCCGGAGGGAAUUACAUUCAUGAAGCCU
This is a non-coding RNA of Firmicutes bacterium ML8_F2, 100 nucleotides long. The record is from Rfam. NCBI's taxonomy places the organism in Bacteria, Bacillati, Bacillota.